UGAUUGGUCAUUGGAUGGGUUGGUCAAAGUUCGCGCAAGGUCGCCCUGACGUGACCCAUAAUAAGAUGUCCUCAGAUCUUUGUUUAGCGAUAGCGAGGACUGAGAUCUGAUUUUAAUGAGAUUGGAUGAGCUGCAGAAACAGAGUAUAGCUCACCCUGUCUGGCGGAGUGUCAUACUGGCUGUGGCUGCUUUACCAGGGACCACCAUAGCAAACACUAGGAUCACAUGUUAUAACAUCUUGUCAGGAUCAUUAACCUAGCACAAAUAAUCAUAUUCUAAUGUGAUAACAUUUCCUUAAAAUUUGCGAGGACUGAUUCACAUUUGAUUGUUACCAUGGUUACCAUGUUUUAGAGAUUGCAUAUGUUGUGUGUGGGAGGUCUGGGACAUGUUGAUCUGUUGCAUGGACUGUCUCCAUGUAAGUUCAUACACAAUAUUUAUCAUAAUAUAUUUAGGAGAACGCAAGAGUAAUGUGAGUGACAUGUCGAUGCGAUGUUGUGUUACUGAGUCUAACUUAGAUCUGUGUACGCUGAUCAAAUCUUUCUUAGAUCCGUGUUCAUCGGGUGAGUUUUACUUAGAUCUGUGUACACUGAGAGAGUCUGACUUAGACCUGUUUCACACCGAGUGAAUCUUGCUCAGAUCUGUGUACGCCAAUCAAGUCUUACUUAGAUUCAUGUACAUCGAGUGUGUGACACUUAGAUCUGCGUACACUGAGAGAGUCUGACUUAGACCUGUUUCACACCGAGUGAAUCUUGCUCAGAUCUGUGUACACCAAUCAAGUCUUACUUAGAUCCAUGUACAUUGAGUAAGUUUCACUUAGAUCUGUGUACACUGAGAGGGUCUGACUAAGAUCUGUUUCACUUUGUGUGAGUCUUGCUUAGAUUUUUGAGUGAAUGAGUGAGUGAGUGAAUGAUGUGCUUUGUUUGUUUGCCUUGAACCUAUCAGUUCAUCUGUUUUUUAGGUGAUUCCAUAUUUUUAGAUUUGCCUAAAUGAGUGUUGAGUUUUGUACCAGUGUAUUUUGUUUCGUAUGCACAUAUUUAUUGUCAGUCACUACAGCACCAAGUGUCAUUUCCAUCUGACCAAACUUGUAUUAUUUGUAGGGCAUUGAUUUCUGAAGAACAUUUAGUGAUUUAACAUGAUGUAGAGAACCAGAAAGUGUGCAGGGGAUUCACAGUCAGGGAUAAGCAACAUGAUUGUCAAUACAGAAAGCCUGGAGUGAAACAGAACCUGCCAUCACCUCAAGCCAUGAAGUGAGACAGGUGACAUCGCCAUCAGAUCAUGGCAUGAAGUAAGACAGGUGACAUUGCCAUCAGAUCAUGACAUGAAGUAAGACAGGUGACAUCGCCAUCAGAUCAUGGCAUGAAGUAAGACAGGUGACAUCGCCAUCACCUCAAGCCAUGAAGUAAGACAGGUGACAUCGCCAUCAGAUCAUGGCAUGAAGUGAGACAGGUGACAUCGCCAUCAGAUCAUGGCAUGAAGUGAGACAGGUGACAUCGCCAUCAGAUCAUGAAGUAAGACAGGUGACAUCGCCAUCAGAUCAUGAAGUAAGACAGGUGACAUCGCCAUCAGAUCAUGGCAUGAAGUAAGACAGGUGACAUCGCCAUCAGAUCAUGACAUGAAGUAAGACAGGUGACAUCGCCAUCAGAUCAUGAAGUAAGACAGGUGACAUCGCCAUCAGAUCAUGGCAUGAUGUAAGACAGGUGACAUCGCCAUCAGAUCAUGGCAUGAAGUAAAACAGGUGACAUUGCCAUCAGAUCAUGGCAUGAAGUAAGACAGGUGACAUCGCCAUCAGAUCAUGGCAUGAAGUGAGACAGGUGACAUCGCCAUCAGAUCAUGAAGUAAGACAGGUGACAUCGCCAUCAGAUCAUGGUAUGAAGUAAGACAGGUGACAUUGCCAUCAGAUCAUGGCAUGAAGUAAGACAGGUGACAUCGCCAUCACCUCAAGCCAUGAAGUGAGACAGGUGACAUCGCCAUCAGAUCAUGGCAUGAAGUAAGACAGGUGACAUCGCCAUCAGAUCAUGGCAUGAAGUAAGACAGGUGACAUUGCCAUCAGAUCAUGGCAUGAAGUAAGACAGGUGACAUCGCCAUCAGAUCAUGGCAUGAAGUGAGACAGGUGACAUCGCCAUCAGAUCAUGAAGUAAGACAGGUGACAUCGCCAUCAGAUCAUGGUAUGAAGUAAGACAGGUGACAUUGCCAUCAGAUCAUGGCAUGAAGUAAGACAGGUGACAUCGCCAUCAGAUCAUGGCAUGAAGUGAGACAGGUGACAUCGCCAUCAGAUCAUGAAGUAAGACAGGUGACAUCGCCAUCAGAUCAUGGCAUGAAGUAAGACAGGUGACAUUGCCAUCAGAUCAAGGCAUGAAGUAAGACAGGUGACAUCGCCAUCAGAUCAUGGCAUGAAGUAAGACAGGUGACAUCGCCAUCAGAUCAUGAAGUGAGACAGGUGACAUCGCCAUCAGAUCAUGGCAUGAAGUAAGACCGGUGACAUCGCCAUCAGAUCAUGGCAUGAAGUAAGACAGGUGUCAUCGCCAUCAGAUCAUGGCAUGAAGUAAGACAGGUGACAUCGCCAUCAGAUCAUGACAUGAAGUAAGACAGGUGACAUCGCCAUCAGAUCAUGAAGUAAGACAGGUGUCAUCGCCAUCAGAUCAUGGCAUGAAGUAAGACAGGUGACAUCGCCAUCAGAUCAUGGCAUGAAGUAAGACAGGUGACAUCGCCAUCAGAUCAUGGCAUGAAGUAAGACAGGUGACAUCGCCAUCAGAUCAUGAAGUAAGACAGGUGACAUCGCCAUCAGAUCAUGGCAUGAAGUAAGACAGGUGACAUCGCCAUCAGAUCAUGAAGUAAGACAGGUGACAUUGCCAUCAGAUCAUGGCAUGAAGUAAGACAGGUGACAUCGCCAUCAGAUCAUGGCAUGAAGUAAGACAGGUGACAUCGCCAUCAGAUCAUGAAGUGAGACAGGUGACAUCGCCAUCAGAUCAUGAAGUAAGACAGGUGACAUCGCCAUCAGAUCAUGGCAUGAAGUAAGACCGGUGACAUCGCCAUCAGAUCAUGACAUGAAGUAAGACAGGUGACAUCGCCAUCAGAUCAUGGCAUGAAGUAAGACAGGUGACAUCGCCAUCAGAUCAUGAAGUAAGACAGGUGUCAUCGCCAUCAGAUCAUGGCAUGAAGUAAGACAGGUGACAUCGCCAUCAGAUCAUGGCAUGAAGUAAGACAGGUGACAUCGCCAUCAGAUCAUGGCAUGAUGUUGAAUAUCCAGGACAGACCUCUUGAGGUACUCGUGUACUUGGAUGCACAGAGGAAGUCCUGCCGAGUCCAAUGUACUGUUGUCCAUAUAAACUAUGAAGAGAUGUCCUUUGUUAUUGCCUUGUUGUCACUGUCCAGACUUGGCUGAUGACUGAAACAAGUAUGGAAUACAGUUUCUUGAAUGUUGCUCCAAUGUAACAGAGGUAGUGUUUCAGGUGAGUUUUCAGUCUGAAUGAACCAAUUGGUUUGUCGUUACAAGUAGUUUUAACAAUAACAUGUUUUUAUGUUCAUGGUUUGUACCACUGCAGUGAAUAAGCUGUGCAACAAAUAACAGCUUAUUGCAAUCUUCAAACUUGUUCAGAGAUUGAGUGUGUGGACAGUGAUCCUCCAGAAGCUAUUUCCUAUUCGACUAUUUCAAGACCUGAUCAUGUAUUGAUAUAUGAGACUGUGAAUCUGCUUUUAUAACUACAGUAAACUACAGUUAUAAUGAACACAAAGAAACCACUAAUUUUAGUUUGUUAUAACCGUAGUCUGUAUAUAUUCAUAUAUACAGCAUACAGUAUGCAUAUAUACAGCAUACCAACAGCAAAUGGACGGGACCCAGAAAAGGUUUGUUGUAAGCGUGUUCGUUAUAAAUGUAGUUUACUGUACAUAUAUCACUAAAAAUGUCAAGGAUAGUGCCAUGCUAAUCCCCUCAUGUUAAGAUUGUUUUUAAGUACUGUUCAACUUUUAUGGAAAUUGUCUGAGUGUCCAGAUAAUGACAAUGUGAUUGAUUGCUGAAAGAUGUUGUCAUGCAAGUAGUAUUCAAUAUUAUCAUGGAAGUGCCACAUUUCCAGCUUUAAUGAAGGUAAUCAGAAAUGCAUGUUUAUUGUAGCUGUUAAAGGGCAAGUAUACUGAAAAAAAUUAGUUUGAUUUUCCUAGAUAAGUCAAUUUCCAGGAGAGAAAACUUCAGAAUAUUCAGAGAAGGUAUUUAGAUGUCCAUGUGAAAGUGCUGAAAUGACUGACACACUCUGUAAUCAGCUUCCAAAACAAAGCUAAUUAGGGCGUGGCCCAAAGCUACAGAUGCAGCGGUGCAUGUUUUCAUUGGCGUAUAUGUAGACUAGUUUGCUGUCUUUAUCUAUCUUGUGAUUCUUAGCAGCUGUACAUAUACUGUUUCUGCUAUUCCGUUAAUCCUACAAAAAUAAUAAUAUUGCAAACAUGGUUGAAUGUGUGAAACGUCCCCUUUGAUCCUGACAUUUUGAAUAAUUUAAAUAACAAUUAACAAUCUGUAAGUAGUAUUUUAUGACUAACAUCCUGUUCAGGUAGCAUAAACAACCUGCUGGCCUCGGUCCUGUUCCACACAAUGAAUGCCUGUCAGGGCAGGUUCAUCCUCUGUGUAGGCAACCGAAGGAUUCUUCAGUGUUCUUACUAAUAAGUUGACACAAGGUGUUAACACAUUGAUCAGACAAAUGACCAGACAGAUUAAGCCCUGCAUUGCGAUUAAAGGUGGAAGCAGGCAAACUGGGCAGGAACCCGUUUUAACUAUUUCCGUUUUUUCAAACUGAAUUUUGGUCAAGAUUUUUGUGAUAAAGUCUGCCCUGAAGUAUUAAGAUCUUUAAAGUUGGUAUGUUGAGUUUACUUGCCCCUUAAUGCUUGGUGCUUUUAUUUAAUAGUGCAGUAUUGCUUGAAAAGGUUGAGUUGUAUGAGUUGUGUAUAGGGUUGAUACAGCAGUAGUCUGUGGGUGUCCUACAGGGGAACACCGAUGCAGAACGCUGAUGUGGAUAUUUCUUCUGAAUGUAUAUUAAUCUGUGUUGCCUAGAAGCGUGUUAUUUAUUCCAGUGUAGCCAUCAGUGAAAUGAUGCUUAUUUUGUACACCAAUCUGAACAAACAAUAUUAUGUACAGUGUAAAUUUGUUAAUAGUUCCACACAACAUGAGUGUUUGCCCCUCCUGUGGUAUCUCUAUAAACACUCAGUAACCUGACUUGAUGGUAACUAUGUACUGACUUGACGGUAACCCAGUACUGACUUGAUGGUUACCUAGUACUGACUUGAUGGUAACUAUGUACUGACUUGAUGGUAUUCUAGUACUGACUUGAUGGUAACUAUGUACUGACUUCACAGUAACCCAGUACUGACUUCACGGUAUUCUAGUACUGACUUGAUGGUAUUCUAGUACUGACUUGAUGGUAACUAUGUACUGACUUGAUGGUAACUAUGUACUGACUUCACAGUAACCCAGUACUGACUUGAUGGUAACUAUGUACUGACUUCACGGUAACCCAGUACUGACUUGAUGGUUACCUAGUACUGACUUCACGGUAACCCAGUACUGAAUUGAUGGUUACCCAGUAUUGACUUGAUGGUUACCUAGUACUUCCAGGCAGUAGGUCAUACUGUUGAGCUCUUUGCAUUUGCUUAACCCUAUUUGUAUUAUUCAUCAUUUUCUUCUUUGUAAACUGCUUUUAUUUCAAACCACUGACUGAAUCCAAGAGAUUGCAACACAUCACAUUAGUUUGUACCCAAUUACAUAUUCAUUGUCUUGUCAUUUCUUGAAAAAUUUCAGUCACCAUUAUGUGGGGUUAUUCAGUGUCUAUAAAAUGUCUACAAAUCAA
Molecule: long non-coding RNA, 5825 nt
Organism: Haliotis rufescens (red abalone)
Lineage: Eukaryota; Metazoa; Mollusca; Gastropoda; Lepetellida; Haliotidae
Exons: 5
Source: RefSeq, a predicted model, not a curated record